This 670-nucleotide long non-coding RNA is filed under the name Anser brachyrhynchus (Pink-footed goose). Its description in RNAcentral is "lncRNA (ENSABRG00000009121.1)". Lineage: Eukaryota; Metazoa; Chordata; Aves; Anseriformes; Anatidae. The record is from RNAcentral.
UGCAUGUCACAGAACUUGAAGGCUUCGUACAGCUUUGAUUACAAAAAUGUGCAUUUUCUCUCAUCAUGGUGAUUGAAUGCAGAGGGAACGUUUUUUUCUUUAGUGUUGUUUAUUUUUCUUUUUUUCAGGCAUAAUGGAGUUUUGAACAGUAAAAUUGCUUUCUGCUUUUUCAUAGUUGUUUGGCUAUUUGAGAGAAAAAAGAAACACCAGACAGUGCAGCACUGCUACAGGGAGAGAGCUGUUUGGGAAUGAUGAAGAGGAACACUCUGACAGGGCAAUUCAUCUUAUCUGCCUAAAACUAGAAGAGGCAGUGGGGGAUAAGCCUAACAGCUUCAGGUCUGGUUGAAACAAUGAUCAUCUUGUUUUGCUUUGCUGUGGCCCCAUAACUGCAUGGCAAAUAAACAACAAGAUAUUCAAAAUACAGAAUUUGAGGGACUGACUUUUCAGGCUAAGAACCCAUGGAUCCGACGAUACUUGACGAGAACUGUCUGUUCUCAGUGCUUGUGUAAAUCACUCUUAUGACUGAUCUGUAAUGCUAAUAGCAGCUCUAAAAUUCAAAACUACUUUGCCAUCUUUCAAAGGAGCUUUGGUAAACCCUGAAGCAAGGAACUGCUUAUGAUAUUUUUACUGGUAAUGAUUAAUAAAUAAAUAAAUAAAAAGAUGUUGUCCA